RNAcentral lists this ribosomal RNA (468 nucleotides) under uncultured bacterium. RNAcentral describes it as "partial 16S ribosomal RNA". It matches the Rfam family "Bacterial small subunit ribosomal RNA", at positions 28 to 507 of the family's 1533-position model. The record is from RNAcentral.
GACGAACGCUGGCGGCGUGCUUAACACAUGCAAGUCGAACGGAAAGGCCCUGCUUUUGUGGGGUGCUCGAGUGGCGAACGGGUGAGUAACACGUGAGUAACCUGCCCUUUACUUUGGGGUAACUUCAGGAAACUGGGGCUAAUACCGGAUAGGAGCUCCUGCUGCAUGGUGGGGGUUGGAAAGUUUCGGCGGUUGGGGAUGGACUCGCGGCUUAUCAGCUUGUUGGUGGGGUAGUGGCUUACCAAGGCUUUGACGGGUAGCCGGCCUGAGAGGGUGACCGGCCACAUUGGGACUGAGAUACGGCCCAGACUCCUACGGGAGGCAGCAGUGGGGAAUAUUGCACAAUGGGCGGACGCCUGAUGCAGCAACGCCGCGUGCGGGAUGACGGCCUUCGGGUUGUAAACCGAUUUCGCCUGUGACGAAGCGUGAGUGACGGUACUGGGUAAAGAAGCACCGGCUAACUACGUG